GUGAGCCACCACACUCAGCAUAACUUUUUAAAUUUGCACAAAUAUGUAUAGUUCCUAUCUCUGUGUUAUUUCUAAUUUCAUUAAAUUUUAGUCAUAGAACAUAUUUUGUAUAAUUUCAAUAUUUUUAACCUUCAUUUGGUUUGUUUUGUAUGAUGUUAGUGCAGACAUUCCAGUUUUUUUGUGGUUGCUACUUGGAUAUUUCUAUUUCCAUCCUAUUUCUUUCAACACUUUUGUAUUUUAUAAACUGCCUACAACAGACACCUUAUAGUUUGAUUGUUUUUUAAAUAUCCACUUGGUCAAUCAGACUGGUUUGGAUUGCUUGAUCCAUCAGUACAGCUGGAUUUAAAUUUUCCAUUAUACAUUUUAAAAUUCUAUGUCUAUCUUCUUUUACAGAAUCCCUCCUAUACUACUUUUUAUAAGUUAAUAUUUUCUAAAAUAAUGUAUUAUUAUCUUUAACGAUUUUUCCCUCUAUUAUAUGAAAAUCCUUUUUAGUGGUUGCAGUAGGGCUUUUUUUUAUAAUUGACAAGUAAUAAUUGUAUAUAAUUCCAGGGAACUAUCUGAUGUUUUUGUAUGUAUACAUAGUGUAAUAACUAAAUCAAGCACAUUAACAUAUCCAUAACUUCACCUACUUUUGUUGUGACAACUUUAAUAUCUACUUAUAACAAUUUUAAAAUAUACAGUCAGUGACAAUGGUCACCAUGCUGUGAAAUAUGUCUAAAACUUAUUCCUCCUAACAGAAAAUUGGUACUCUUUGACCAACGUCUUGCCUUUGCCCAUCUCUCCAACACCCACAUCCUGGAAACCAUAACAUCCAACUUUCUACUUGUAUGAGUUAGCCUUUCUUAGAUUCCACAUACAAAUAUAAUGUAGUAUUUGCCUCUCUGUGCCUGUCUUACAACACUUAGCAUAGUAUACUACAGAUUCAUCCAUGUUGUCACAAAUGACAAUUUUCCUUCUUUUCCAAGGAUAAAAAAUAUUCCAAUAUGUAUAUACAACACAUCUUCUAUGUCCAUUCAUCUGUUAUGAAAACUUAAGUCUUUUCCAUUUAUUAGCUUUGUAAAUAAUUUCAAAAUAAGGGAGUGCAAGAUCUCAACAUACUGCUUCAAUUCCUUUGGAUAUAUACCUAAGUAGAGAUUGCUAGAUCAUAUAGUAAUUGUACUUUUAGUUUCUUAAGGAACCACCAUAUAGUUUCCUAAAUUGGCUAUACUAAUUUAUAUUCCCACUAACAGAAUGUUGGGACUUCCUUUUAUCCACAUCCUUGCCAGCACCUGUCUUUCAUCCUUUUAAUAAUAGCCAUUCUAAAAGGUGUAAGGUAAUAUCUUGCAGUUUUGAUUUGCAACUCACUAAUGAUUAGAGAUGUUGAGCAUUUUUUUCAUGUAUCAAUCAAUUGGCCACUCAUGUCUUCCUCUGAAAAAUUUAAGUUGAGGUCCUUUUCCCCCUUUUAAAGACAGUUGUUUUCUUGCUAUUGGGCUUGGGUUUCUUAAUACAUUUUGGAUAUUAGCCCCUUAUCAGAUAUAUGAUUUGAAAAUGGUUUCUCAAAACCCGUGUCUUCAUUCUGUUAACUGUACCCUUUGCAGUGCAGAUGCUUUUUAGUUUGAUGCAACUCAAGUUGUCUGUUGCGGGAAGUCAGGGACCCCAAACGGAGGGACUGGCUGAAGCCAUGGCGGAAGAACGUGGAUCGUGAAGAUUUCAUGGACAUUUAUUAGUUCCCCAAAUUAAUACUUUUAUAAUUUCUUAUGCCUGUCUUUACUGCAAUCUCUAAACAUAAAUUGUGAAGAUUUCAUGGACACUUAUCACUUCCCCAAUCAAUACCCUUGUGAUUUCCUAUGCCUGUUUUAAUCUCUUAAUCCUGUCAUCUCGUAAGCCGAGGAGGACGUAUGUCGCCUCAGGACCCUGUGAUAAUUGUGUUAAGUGCAGAAAUUGUAGAGCAUGUGUGUUUAAACAAUAUGAAAUCUAGGCACCUUGAAAAAAGAACAGGAUAACAGCAAUGUUCAGGGAAUAAGAGAGAUAACCUUAAACUCUGACCGCCGGUGAGCCAGGCGGAACAGAGCCAUAUUUCUCUUCUUUCAAAAGCAAAUGGGAGAAAUAUCGCCGAAUUCUUUUUCUCAGCAAGGAACAUCCCUGAGAAAGAGAAUGUGCCCCUGAGGGUGGGCCUCUAAAAUGGCCCCCUUGGGUGUAGCUGUCUUCUAUGGUCGAGACUGUAGGGAUGAAAUAAGCCCCAGUCUCCCAUAGCGCUCCCAGGCUUAUUAGGACGAGGAAAUUCCCACCUAAUAAAUUUUGGUCAGACAGGUUGCUCUCAAACCCUGUCUCCUGAUAAGAUGUUAUCAAUGACGAUGGUGCCCGAAACUUCAUUAGCAAUUUUAAUUUCAACCCAGUCCUGUGGUCCUGUGAUCUCGCCCUGCCUCCAUUUGCCUUGUGAUAUUCUAUUACCUUGUGAAGCACGUGAUCUCUGUGACCCACCUCCUAUUCGUAUACUCCCUCCCCUUUGAAAAUCCCUAAUAAAAACUUACUGGUUUUACGGCUCAGGGGGCAUCACGGAACCUACCGACAUGUGAUGUCUCCCCAGGAUGCCCAGCUUUAAAAUUUCUCUCUUUUGUACUCUGUCCCUUUAUUUCUCAACCCGGCCAAUGCUUAGGGAAAAUAGAAAAGAACCUAUGUGACUAUCUGGGCAGGUUCCCUGAUAGUUGUCUGGCUGUUUUUGCUGCCCAUGCUUUUAAGGAUGUAUCCAAGAAAUCAUUGCCCAGAACAACAUCAUAGAGCUUUUCCCCUAUAUUUUCUACUAGUAGUUUUACAGUUUCAAAGGCAACAUUUCAGGCUUUAAUCCAUUUUGAGUUGAUUUUUCUAUAUGCUAUGAGAAAAUGGUUCAAUUUCACAUAUAGAUAUACAGAUAUCUCAAAACAAUUUAUUUAUUUAUUUGUCCUCUCCCCAUUCUGUGUGCCACUUUUGUCAAAAAUCAAUUGGAUGGAAAUGUAUGAGUUAUGUCUGGGCUUUCCUGUUCCACUGGUCAGUGAAUCUGUUUUUAUGCUGGUACCACAGUUUUUUGAUAAUGGAUUACAAAAUCAGGUAGAGUGAUGCCUCCAGCUGUGUCCUUGUUGCUCAAGAUUACUUUGAUUAUUUAAUGUCUUUUGUAGUUCCAUACAAGUUUUAGAAUUUUUUUUGUAUUUCUGUAAAAAAAAUAAAAAUAAAAAGGACAUUGAAAUAUUGAUUACACAGAAUCUGUAUGUUUCUUUUGGCAGUAUGAAAAUUAUAACAAUAUAAAUUUCCCAAUCCAUGUACAAAGAAAAAUUUCUAUUUUUGUAAUCUUCAAUUCGUUUCAUCAAUGUUUUCACUAUACAGAUCUUUAACCUACUUGGUUAAAUUCAUUCAUAAGUUUGUUUACUUAGUAAAUAGUGUAAAUGUGAUUAGUUUCCUGAUUACUUUUUUGGAUAGAUUGUUGUUUGUUAGUGUAUAGAAAUGCUACAGACUUAAUUGUCAAUUUUGUACGUAGCACUUUUUAUGGAAUUCAUUUUAUUAGUUCUAUAGUUUUUUUUUUUUUAAUGGAGUCUUUAAGGUUUUCUAGCUAUAAGAUAAGAUAAUCAGGAGAGGCAAGUUUUUUCUUCUUUUCCUACUUAGAUGUCUUUUAUUUCUCUUGCCUAAAUGCUCUUGCUAUGACUUCCAGUACAACACUGAACAGAAGGAGAAAAAAUGGCAUCCAUGUCUUGUUCCUGAUCUUAGAGAAAAAGCCUUCAACUCUUCGGUGUUAAGAUUUCAGCUCUGGGCCGGUCAUAUAGGGCCUUUAAUGUGUUGAGACAUCUUCCUUUUAUACCUAACUUGUUCAGGUUUUUAUCAUGCAAAGAUGUUAAGUAUUGGGCCGGGGACUGUGGCUCAUGCCUGUAAUCCCAGCACUUUGGGAGGUCAAGGAGGGUGGAUCACCUGAGGUUAGGAGUUCGAGAUCAGCCUGGCCAACGUGGUGAAACCCCGUCUCUACUAAAAAUACGAAAAUUAGCCAGGUGUGGUGGUGUGCGCCUG
RNAcentral lists this long non-coding RNA (4008 nucleotides) under Homo sapiens (human). Its description in RNAcentral is "FTX transcript, XIST regulator". Lineage: Eukaryota; Metazoa; Chordata; Mammalia; Primates; Hominidae. The record is from RNAcentral.